AUUGAACGCUGGCGGCAGGCCUAACACAUGCAAGUCGCGCGAGCGGCGGAAGCGUGAGUAAUGUCUGUGAGACUGCCUGCUGGAGGGGGAUAACUCCUGGAAACGGUAUAUCAUACCGCAUCCCCUCUGAUAUGCACACAUGGGAUGAGCUAGUAGGUGGGGUAACGGCGCACCUAGGGGACGAUCCCUAGCUGGUCUGAGAGGGUGACCAGCCACACGGGGACGGAGACACGGCCCAGACUCCUAAGGGAGGCAGGAGUGGGGAAUAUUGCAAAAUGGGCGCAAGCCUGAUGCAGCCAUGCCGCGUGUGUGAAGAAGGCCUUCGGGUUGUAAAGCACUUUCAGUGGGGAGGCGUUACCCGCAGAAGAAGCACCGGCUAACUCCGUGCCAGCAGCCGCGGUAAUAC
RNAcentral lists this ribosomal RNA (406 nucleotides) under uncultured bacterium. Its description in RNAcentral is "partial 16S ribosomal RNA". It matches the Rfam family "Bacterial small subunit ribosomal RNA", at positions 29 to 526 of the family's 1533-position model. The record is from RNAcentral.